UGGGGGUUAUUGCACAAUGGGCGAAAGCCUGAUGCAGCGACGCCGCGUGGGGGAUGAAGGCUUUCGGGUUGUAAACCUCUUUCGCUAUGGAACAAGGCACGCUUCGGGUGGGUUGAGGGUAGGUGGAGCAGAAGCGCAGGCUAACUACGUGCCAGCAGCUGCGGUAAUACGUAGGGCGCGAGCGUUGUCCGGAAUUAUUGGGCUUAAAGGGCUUGUAGGCGGCUUGUUGCGCCUGCUGUGAAAACGCGGGGCUUAACUUCGCGCGUGCAGUGGGUACGGGCAGGCUUGAGUGUGGUAGGGGUGACUGGAAUUCCAGGUGUAGCGGUGGAAUGCGCAGAUAUCUGGUGGAACGCCGAUGGCGAAGGCAGGUCACUGGGCCAUUACUGACGCUGAGGAGCGAAAGCAUGGGUAGCGAACAGU
RNAcentral lists this ribosomal RNA (420 nucleotides) under bacterium. Its description in RNAcentral is "partial 16S ribosomal RNA". It matches the Rfam family "Bacterial small subunit ribosomal RNA", at positions 355 to 776 of the family's 1533-position model. The record is from RNAcentral.